CAUCUACGGAGAGUUUGAUCCUGGCUCAGGACGAACGCUGGCGGCGUGCUUAACACAUGCAAGUCGAACGCUGAACCCGCUUCGGUGGGGAAUGAGUGGCGAACGGGUGAGUAACACGUGGGCAACCUGCCCCCGGCUCUGGGAUAACUCCAAGAAAUUGGGGCUAAUACCGGAUGUGACCGCUGACCGCAUGGUCUGGUGGUGGAAAGGGUUUCCGGCUGGGGAUGGGCCCGCGGCCUAUCAGCUUGUUGGUGGGG
Molecule: ribosomal RNA, 257 nt
Filed under: Geodermatophilus africanus
Lineage: Bacteria; Bacillati; Actinomycetota; Actinomycetes; Geodermatophilales; Geodermatophilaceae
Description: 16S rRNA. Bacterial SSU
Rfam family: Bacterial small subunit ribosomal RNA
Source: RNAcentral